Molecule: signal recognition particle RNA, 286 nt
Filed under: Pseudomonadota bacterium
Lineage: Bacteria; Pseudomonadati; Pseudomonadota
Description: Proteobacteria bacterium (marine metagenome) signal recognition particle sRNA large type
Rfam family: Bacterial large signal recognition particle RNA
About the family: The signal recognition particle (SRP) is a universally conserved ribonucleoprotein involved in the co-translational targeting of proteins to membranes.
Source: RNAcentral
CCACGCUAAGCGGGGAACUAGCGGUGCCCUGAUUCCAUCGAUUCGUCGGUGGAUGACCUGCAAACCGCUCAGCAGGGCCGAAUUCCCGAUUGAGGGGUCACCCUGAUUCAAGCUGAACCGUUUAGAGGAGCGUUGAAGCUCGGGUCCCGCGCACGUAAUACUCGCAAACUCCGUCAGGUCCGGAAGGAAGCAGCGGUAAGCAAGCCUCUUACGGGGCGCGGAAUAACUCGAGCCGAGCCGAUCGGCGGGGAUGCUGAGAUCAGGAACUUCGAGAGAGGGUGCGUGG